Molecule: ribosomal RNA, 27 nt
Filed under: Nardostachys jatamansi
Lineage: Eukaryota; Viridiplantae; Streptophyta; Magnoliopsida; Dipsacales; Caprifoliaceae
Description: partial 5.8S ribosomal RNA
Source: RNAcentral
GCCGAGGGCACGUCUGCCUGGGCGUCA